This 254-nucleotide ribosomal RNA is filed under the name uncultured bacterium. RNAcentral describes it as "partial 16S ribosomal RNA". It matches the Rfam family "Bacterial small subunit ribosomal RNA", at positions 524 to 776 of the family's 1533-position model. The record is from RNAcentral.
UACGUAGGGGGCGAGCGUUGACCGGAUUUAUUGGGCGUAAAGAGCUCGUAGGCGGUUUGGCAAGUCGGGUGUGAAAACUCCGGGCUCAACUCGGAGACGCCACUCGAUACUGCCAUGACUUGAGUCCGGUAGGGGAGUGCGGAAUUCCUGGUGUAGCGGUGAAAUGCGCAGAUAUCAGGAGGAACACCGGUGGCGAAGGCGGCACUCUGGGCCGGUACUGACGCUGAGACGCGAAAGCGUGGGGAGCGAACAGG